GAUGAACGCUGGCGGCGUGCUUAACACAUGCAAGUCGAACGGAAAGGCCGAAGCUUGCUUCGGUACUCGAGUGGCGAACGGGUGAGUAACACGUGGGUGAUCUGCCCUGUACUUCGGGAUAAGCUUGGGAAACUGGGUCUAAUACCGGAUAUGACAAUCUCUUGGAUGGGGUUGUGGAAAGCUUUGCGGUAUGGGAUGAGCUCGCGGCCUAUCAGCUUGUUGGUGGGGUAAUGGCCUACCAAGGCGUCGACGGGUAGCCGGCCUGAGAGGGUGUACGGCCACAUUGGGACUGAGAUACGGCCCAGACUCCUACGGGAGGCAGCAGUGGGGAAUAUUGCACAAUGGGCGCAAGCCUGAUGCAGCGACGCCGCGUGGGGGAUGACGGCCUUCGGGUUGUAAACUCCUUUCGCAACCGACGAAGCUUUUGUGACGGUAGGUUGAGAAGAAGCACCGGCUAACUACGUGCCAGCAGCCGCGGUAAUACGUAGGGUGCGAGCGUUGUCCGGAAUUACUGGGCGUAAAGAGCUCGUAGGUGGUUUGUCGCGUCGUUUGUGGAAUACCGCAGCUUAACUGCGGGGUUGCAGGCGAUACGGGCAUAACUUGAGUGCUGUAGGGGAGACUGGAAUUCCUGGUGUAGCGGUGGAAUGCGCAGAUAUCAGGAGGAACACCGAUGGCGAAGGCAGGUCUCUGGGCAGUAACUGACGCUGAGGAGCGAAAGCAUGGGGAGCGAACAGG
This 735-nucleotide ribosomal RNA is filed under the name uncultured Corynebacterium sp. RNAcentral describes it as "bacterial SSU rRNA". It matches the Rfam family "Bacterial small subunit ribosomal RNA", at positions 28 to 776 of the family's 1533-position model. Lineage: Bacteria; Bacillati; Actinomycetota; Actinomycetes; Mycobacteriales; Corynebacteriaceae. The record is from RNAcentral.